GUCUAUGGCCAUACCACUCUGAAUGUGCCCGAUCUAGUCUGAUCUCAAGGGCUAAGCAGGGUUGGGCCUGUUAGUACUGGGAUGGGAGUCUAUAUCUUUGCUAUUGUGAAUAGUGCUGCAAAAGACA
Otolemur garnettii (small-eared galago) is the source of this 127-nucleotide ribosomal RNA. NCBI's taxonomy places the organism in Eukaryota, Metazoa, Chordata, Mammalia, Primates, Galagidae. The record is from Ensembl.